Felis catus (domestic cat) is the source of this 85-nucleotide non-coding RNA. NCBI's taxonomy places the organism in Eukaryota, Metazoa, Chordata, Mammalia, Carnivora, Felidae. The record is from Rfam.
GCCUGGGUGGCUCAGUCGGUUAAGCAUCUGACUUCAGCUCAGGUCAUGAUCACGCCAUCCGUGAGUUCAAGCCCCGCGUCGGGCU